Papaver somniferum (opium poppy) is the source of this 631-nucleotide long non-coding RNA. RefSeq lists it as uncharacterized. NCBI's taxonomy places the organism in Eukaryota, Viridiplantae, Streptophyta, Magnoliopsida, Ranunculales, Papaveraceae. The record is from RefSeq and is a predicted model, not a curated record. The transcript has 3 exons.
ACUGGAUGCAGCUCAUUUGCUGGUCUCUUUAUUAGAGGACCAUGCAUCUGAUAAGAUACGCAUUUGUUCGUGUACUCCUUUGCAUCGUUCUGCAUAUAGGGCCAGAAGUAUCCUUGAGAAAGCAACCUAUGUGCCAAACUCCUGCCUCCAGAAUGAUUGCCACAACAACCUUCAUGCGUCUCAGCUAACAAUUUCAUCCCCUCAUCACGAGUUACACACCGCAGGUAACGAACAUACGAUUGUCUCCAAUCUUCGGAUUGACCAUUGUCCAUAUCAUCAAUAUCCAUAGGAUCUUGUUGGACUUCAGAUGAACUACCCUCGUUUUCAUUUGCACAAAUUCUAUGUGCAGUCGCCACAGUGUUAUGAAUGCUAGGAAAUUCGUGGAAAUCAACUAUGACAUACCGUGUUGAAUCUGACUCUACUGCCGCUGACAGUGAACUGGUUGGCAACUAACCUUGAAUCGGUUGUCAGUAUGACUCUCCUCGCCCCCAAGUGGAGUGUUGUUUUUAGACCUGAGAUUGCAUCCUCGUACUCGGCCUGAUUAUUUAAGCAGUAAAUCCUAGUCGAACAACUUUUUCUACUCGUACUCCUUCGGGGGAAAUUAGUACGCAACCAACACCAGCUCCGUCGG